This 477-nucleotide ribosomal RNA is filed under the name uncultured bacterium. RNAcentral's name for it is "bacterial SSU rRNA". It matches the Rfam family "Bacterial small subunit ribosomal RNA", at positions 30 to 507 of the family's 1533-position model. The record is from RNAcentral.
AUUGAACGCUGGCGGAAUGCUUACACAUGCAAGUCGAACGGUAGAGGGGCAACCCUUGAGAGUGGCGAACGGGUGAGUAAUAUAUCGGAACGUGCCCAGUCGUGGGGGAUAACGUAGCGAAAGUUACGCUAAUACCGCAUACGAUCUAAGGAUGAAAGCGGGGGACCGUAAGGCCUCGCGCGAUUGGAGCGGCCGAUAUCAGAUUAGGUAGUUGGUGGGGUAAAGGCUCACCAAGCCAACGAUCUGUAGCUGGUCUGAGAGGACGACCAGCCACACUGGAACUGAGACACGGUCCAGACUCCUACGGGAGGCAGCAGUGGGGAAUUUUGGACAAUGGGCGAAAGCCUGAUCCAGCCAUUCCGCGUGCAGGAUGAAGGCCCUCGGGUUGUAAACUGCUUUUGUACAGAACGAAAAGGUCUCUAUUAAUACUAGGGGCUCAUGACGGUACUGUAAGAAUAAGCACCGGCUAACUACGUG